CCCAACUCUGGCUUAUCCUCCCCAUCAUCAUCCCAUCCAGAAAAACGUAUCCACAAUUCUUGCAACAGGGAGGCUGGUGGCGGCCGGCUGCCGGCUGCCGGCUGCCGGCGAGCGAUUCCCCCGGCGUCCGUCGCACUUGGGCAGCUCCCUCUGGAAUUAGCCGGCGGCUAAGCGAGCUCCUCGUCUUGCCUCGCGUCCCCAAUCCUCUGCUCUGCUCUGGCGAGGGACUCCGGCGGGACGGGAGCUCUCUGCCAUGCCAUGAAUAAGCAUCUCUGUGUUAGAAAGAGCUUACUAGUACUGAUAUGAGGGUAAUACUAGGAAGUAUGGAGUAUGGAGUAUGUAUGAGGGAAAUACUAGUACUGAUAUGGAAUGCACCCUGGAAAAUAAUGAAGCGUGGAAACGCAGAAUAAAGCUCCAUUUGAUUGUUAAAAUGUCAAAAUGCAAAAAAUACAGCUCCAUUUGAUUCCGGUAUGCUACAAAUAGCUACUAGUACUAUUCCAACAUUCAUGCAUCAGUUGGAAGGUUCUAGUAGAGAGAGGGGGAAGGUCCAAACAUAUUCCAUGCUAGUGCUAUGGAUUGCCGAGAUUUUAAGGAACAGGGCAAUGUACGAUUUCAGUAUCUUCAGAAAUGGCAAUCAAAGGGCGUAAUCAUGUUUCCUCAGCAGUUCUGUGAGGAGCACUGCACUGCAGGAUUAAUCAUGCUUCUUGAGGGGUUCUGUGAGGAGCAAUCCACUGCAGGAAAUACUGAAAUGGAUAUAAAUCACUGGAACAGCAGACCAAGAUCCACUCCGGGAGAUAAACUUCGUCCUGGUUCUCAACACUUGGAUCUGAGUUCCUCCGUCCGCUCACCAUCUCCAACACCAGCAUGCCAAAACUGUACACAUCUGACUUGUAAGACACCCCUCCAAAGUUCCGAGAGUAUAGCUCUGGUGCUAUGUAUCCCAUAG
This 946-nucleotide ribosomal RNA is filed under the name Triticum aestivum (bread wheat). RNAcentral describes it as "partial small subunit ribosomal RNA". Lineage: Eukaryota; Viridiplantae; Streptophyta; Magnoliopsida; Poales; Poaceae. The record is from RNAcentral.